Molecule: ribosomal RNA, 253 nt
Filed under: uncultured bacterium
Lineage: Bacteria
Description: partial 16S ribosomal RNA
Rfam family: Bacterial small subunit ribosomal RNA
Source: RNAcentral
UACGUAGGGGGCAAGCGUUGUCCGGAAUUACUGGGCGUAAAGCGCGUGUAGGCGGGACGGUAAGUCGGACGUGAAAGGCGCGGGCUUAACCCGCGAGCGCCGUUCGAAACUGCCGUUCUUGAGGGUCGAAGAGGAGAGUGGAAUUCCUGGUGUAGCGGUGAAAUGCGUAGAGAUCAGGAGGAACACCCGUGGCGAAGGCGGCUCUCUGGUCGGCCUCUGACGCUGAGACGCGAAAGCGUGGGGAGCGAACGGG